GAUGAACGCUGGCGGCGUGCCUAAUACAUGCAAGUCGAGCGAACAGACGAGGAGCUUGCUCCUCUGACGUUAGCGGCGGACGGGUGAGUAACACGUGGAUAACCUACCUAUAAGACUGGGAUAACUUCGGGAAACCGGAGCUAAUACCGGAUAAUAUAUUGAACCGCAAGGUUCAAUAGUGAAAGACGGUUUUGCUGUCACUUAUAGAUGUAUCCGCGCCGCAUUAGCUAGUUGGUAAGGUAACGGCUUACCAAGGCAACGAUGCGUAGCCGACCUGAGAGGUUGAUCGGCCACACUGGAACUGAGACACGGUCCAGACUCCUACGGGAGGCAGCAGUAGGGAAUCUUCCGCAAUGGGCGAAAGCCUGACGGAGCAACGCCGCGUGAGUGAUGAAGGUCUUCGGAUCGUAAAACUCUGUUAUUAGGGAAGAACAAAUGUGUAAGUAACUAUGCACGUCUUGACGGUACCUAAUCAGAAAGCCACGGCUAACUACGUG
Molecule: ribosomal RNA, 497 nt
Filed under: uncultured bacterium
Lineage: Bacteria
Description: partial 16S ribosomal RNA
Rfam family: Bacterial small subunit ribosomal RNA
Source: RNAcentral